RNAcentral lists this ribosomal RNA (253 nucleotides) under uncultured bacterium. Its description in RNAcentral is "partial 16S ribosomal RNA". It matches the Rfam family "Bacterial small subunit ribosomal RNA", at positions 524 to 776 of the family's 1533-position model. The record is from RNAcentral.
UACGUAGGGUGCGAGCGUUAAUCGGAAUUACUGGGCGUAAAGCGUGCGCAGGCGGUUAUGUAAGACAGAUGUGAAAUGCCCGGGCUUAACCUAGGAACUGCAUUUGUGACUGCAUGGCUAGAGUGUGUCAGAGGGGGGUAGAAUUCCACGUGUAGCAGUGAAAUGCGUAGAUAUGUGGAGGAAUACCGAUGGCGAAGGCAGCCCCCUGGGAUAACACUGACGCUCAUGCACGAAAGCGUGGGGAGCAAACAGG